Choloepus didactylus (southern two-toed sloth) is the source of this 948-nucleotide long non-coding RNA. RefSeq lists it as uncharacterized. The record is from RefSeq and is a predicted model, not a curated record. Lineage: Eukaryota; Metazoa; Chordata; Mammalia; Pilosa; Megalonychidae. The transcript is spliced from 4 exons.
CACUUUUGUACCUCGGUGGAAGACAGUGGAAGCACAAUCUCUGAGUCAAUUCCUGGGCUGCCUUUGCUACAAUAUUGCAGGUUGCUGAUGUCUGCCUUCAAGAUUGCAUUAAAGAAUAUGGCUUUCUCUGGGGGACAUAAUAUACACAAACCAGCACAGGAGGAGAAAGUCAGAUCAUGGGAGCCCUGAAUUCAAUGCCAUAGAAUUUGGUUUAAUCCUGGAAUGAGUGAGGAGUACCUGAGAGGAUGGAAGAGAAGGCCAAGUUGAUGAAAGAAAGUAAGGAGCCUACCUUUGGAGAAGAAAUAGAGCACUGAUGGCAUAAUAUUUAUAUAGCACUUUCCAGUUCAGGAGGAUUUCCUUUUAUCUUCAGUUGCUUCCUUUUAUCUUCAGUUCAGCCCUGGGAGGCAACAACAGGGAAGAACAGGGAGGAUAAGAGCACAGCUAAAAUACAGCCCUGAUGAGCUGCCACCAUUGCAAUCACCAUGAAGCUGUGGUUCAGGGCUGUUAGGGAGACUGAGAAGACUGAAAAUGCUUAGUGGUGAAUGAGUAGCUGCUAAUUUGAUAAUCACCAUGAAUCCAAGUGAAACAGAUUUGUUUGGCUCACUGUCCACAAUUUACUUUUAUUUGUGAUUGAAUUGUAAUUUCCAUUUAAAAUCAUUAUAAGGAAACAAUACGUUCCCAUCACGCUCACUUAAGUACCAUCCUGGAGUUUCUAGUUUUGCUUUAACUUUAAAUCUGGUCAUGCUGUCUUUCGUUCCUACCAUCAAGGCUUUCCCUUAAGUAGAUGCUGUUCUUUUCCUUGUGCUUAUAACAUGGGGACAAACCAUACAUACCCAGAAAAAUGAUGACUGUGUUUCAUUUCCAAGAUAACUGCAGACUGGUUACAUUUGAAAUUUCCUCUCAAGAGUGUUAAAUAUCUUUCGUGAUUUCUGGAAAAAAAAUUUCCAC